GAUUCCUUUGAUUUCUUUCUCAGGAACAGGGCGGAUACCUGACCAACUCGUGAUCCUAGACAUGAAGCAUGGAGUGGAGGCGAAAAAUUACGAAGAGAUUGCAAAAGUUGAGAAGCUCAAACCAUUAGAGGUAGAGCUGCGACGCCUAGAAGACCUUUCAGAAUCUAUUGUUAAUGAUUUUGCCUACAUGAAGAAGAGAGAAGAGGAGAUGCGUGAUACCAACGGUGAGGGGGAAGGCGACUCUUACUUCUUAAGUGACCCAUAAAUGAGACAGUCUCCAAACUUUCAAUUCUGGUGUACCCUUUUCUCAGUUUUGCCAAGAGUCAACAAACACUCGGGUCCUAUACUUCAGCAUCUUUUCAAUGUUCUGUCUCAUUGGACUAGCUACCUGGCAGGUCUUCUACCUGCGACGCUUCUUCAAGGCCAAGAAAUUGAUUGAGUAAUGAAUGAGGCAUAUUCUCCUCCCACCUUGUACCUCAGCCAGCAGAACAUCGCUGGGACGUGCCUGGCCUAAGGCAUCCUACCAACAGCACCAUCAAGGCACGUUGGAGCUUUCUUGCCAGAACUGAUCUCUUUUGGUGUGGGAGGACAUGGGGUACCACCUACACCCAACAAGUCAAUGAGGGACUUCUUUUUAAUUUGGUAGGAUUUUGACUGGUUUUGCAACAAUAGGUCUAUUAUUAGAGUCACCUAUGACAAAAAAUAGGGGUUACCUAGAUAAUGCCAAAGUCAGCAUUUGUCCUGGGUUCCCUUGUGUGAUCUGUUUGGACUAUGUUUUCUUUUCUUCUCCCACUUGCUCAGCAGCUUGGGCUUCCAUUCUAGUUCUUUUACCAAGAUUUUUGUGUGACCAUGUUGACUUCAUUUGGAUUGCCCUCUUUCAAUUUCCUU
RNAcentral lists this small RNA (888 nucleotides) under Pan troglodytes (chimpanzee). Its description in RNAcentral is "retained intron". The record is from RNAcentral. Lineage: Eukaryota; Metazoa; Chordata; Mammalia; Primates; Hominidae.